Molecule: long non-coding RNA, 376 nt
Organism: Ochotona curzoniae (black-lipped pika)
Lineage: Eukaryota; Metazoa; Chordata; Mammalia; Lagomorpha; Ochotonidae
Exons: 2
Source: RefSeq, a predicted model, not a curated record
CUUCCCAAAUGGCUGCAAUGGCUGAAGCUGGGUCAGUCCACAGGCCAUAAGCAGGGAGCUGAAUUAGAACUGGAGCAACCCAGACGUAAACUGGCACCCCUGUGGCACUGCAGGUGGAGGAUUCGCUUGCUGUGCCAUCUCGCCGUGUCACCUCGCCAUCUGUGUCACUCCCAGCUCUAACUUCCUGCUGACAUCCAGCCUGGGAAGCAUUGGGUUUGGCUCCUGAUACCCACAAGGGACAUCGCGAUCGAGUUCCUCACUCCAGCUGUCACCUGGCCCAGCCCUGGCUCUAUUGAGAAUUUGUGGAAAAUAACAGUGAAUGGGGGAAUCUGUCAGUCUGCCUCACUGCCUUUUGAAUAAAUGAUACGACGUUUUA